UCUGCAUCUACGGUUGAGAGGUAUCCAGU
RNAcentral lists this non-coding RNA (29 nucleotides) under Rattus norvegicus (Norway rat). Lineage: Eukaryota; Metazoa; Chordata; Mammalia; Rodentia; Muridae. The record is from RNAcentral.